Mycena floridula is the source of this 99-nucleotide non-coding RNA. Lineage: Eukaryota; Fungi; Basidiomycota; Agaricomycetes; Agaricales; Mycenaceae. The record is from the annotation of a GenBank genome assembly.
GGGUACAUGGUGUAGUUGGUUAUCACGCUCGCUUAGCAUGCACAUUACGUCCUAUAUGACUUCUGCGAGAGGUGUUGGGUUCAAUUCCCAAUGUAUCCA